CCUACGGGAGGCACCAGUGGGGAAUAUUGGACAAUGGGGGCAACCCUGAUCCAGCAAUGCCGCGUGUAUGAAGAAGGUCUUCGGAUUGUAAAGUACUUUCGACAGGGACGAUGAUGACGGUACCUGUAGAAGAAGCCCCGGCUAACUUCGUGCCAGCAGCCGCGGUAAUACGAAGGGGGCUAGCGUUACUCGGAAUGACUGGGCGUAAAGCGCGCGUAGGCGGCUUAUACAGUCAGAUGUGAAAUUCCUGGGCUUAACCUGGGACCUGCAUUUGAUACGUAUAGGCUAGAGCGUGAAAGAGGAUUGUGGAAUUCCAAGUGUAGACGUGAAAUUCGUAGGUAUUUGGAGGAACACCGGUGGCGAAGGCGGCAAUCUGGUUCACAACUGACGCUGAGGCGCGAAACCGUGGGGAGCAAACAGGAUUAGAUACCCGAGUAGUC
RNAcentral lists this ribosomal RNA (440 nucleotides) under uncultured bacterium. Its description in RNAcentral is "bacterial SSU rRNA". It matches the Rfam family "Bacterial small subunit ribosomal RNA", at positions 338 to 795 of the family's 1533-position model. The record is from RNAcentral.